Molecule: ribosomal RNA, 254 nt
Filed under: uncultured bacterium
Lineage: Bacteria
Description: partial 16S ribosomal RNA
Rfam family: Bacterial small subunit ribosomal RNA
Source: RNAcentral
GACGAACCGUGCGAACGUUAUUCGGAAUCACUGGGCUUAAAGCGCGUGUAGGCGGGACGGCACGUCGGUCGCUGAAAGCCCCCGGCUCAACCGGGGAACGGGCGCCGAUACGACCGUCCUGGAGGGACGUAGGGGGACCUGGAACAUCCGGUGGAGCGGUGAAAUGCGUUGAGAUCGGAUGGAACGCCCGUGGCGAAAGCGAGGUCCUGGACGCUUACUGACGCUGAGACGCGAAAGCCAGGGGAGCGAACGGG